RNAcentral lists this ribosomal RNA (444 nucleotides) under uncultured Anaerovorax sp. Its description in RNAcentral is "bacterial SSU rRNA". It matches the Rfam family "Bacterial small subunit ribosomal RNA", at positions 336 to 795 of the family's 1533-position model. The record is from RNAcentral. Lineage: Bacteria; Bacillati; Bacillota; Clostridia; Peptostreptococcales; Anaerovoracaceae.
UUCCUACGGGUGGCAGCAGUGGGGAAUAUUGCACAAUGGGCGAAAGCCUGAUGCAGCAAUGCCGCGUGAGCGAUGAAGGCCUUUGGGUCGUAAAGCUCUGUCCUUGGGGAAGAAAAAAAUGACGGUACCCUUGGAGGAAGCCCCGGCUAACUACGUGCCAGCAGCCGCGGUAAUACGUAGGGGGCAAGCGUUAUCCGGAAUUAUUGGGCGUAAAGAGUGCGUAGGUGGUUUUGUAAGCGCGGGGUGAAAGGCUAUGGCUCAACCAUAGUAAGCCUUGCGAACUGCAAGACUUGAGUGCAGGAGAGGAAAGCGGAAUUCCUAGUGUAGCGGUGAAAUGCGUAGAUAUUAGGAGGAACACCAGUGGCGAAGGCGGCUUUCUGGACUGUAACUGACACUGAGGCACGAAAGCGUGGGGAGCAAACAGGAUUAGAUACCCUUGUAGUC